CUUCGUCUCCAACCUCAAGCCCUAGAGAACCCGCCGCCCUGAAAUUAUUAAGCCAUCUCCAGUGGUGGCGUGGCCUAAUCAACCCCAAAUUCCCCGUCCACAAUUCCAACACCCCAUGAAAUAUGAAUCCAUCACCACAUAUCCUCAAAUCCCUACCAAAUUUGGCCAAUUUUAGAUCUAAAAAAAGAAGAAAAAAAAGGAGAAAUUUUCCAAAUCUUCAAGUUUAUAUGAACGAUUGGGCCUGAAACUAGUAUUGUUAGUUUGUUCUCAAAGAGAACAUGCGGUUAGUACCAAUUUUGGGUCAAAUCGGAGGUUCCUGAGGUCUGUCAAGCCAAACGUCCGUUUACUUAUUUUAGGUAACUUUAUUCACUUCUUUUCUUGUCUUUGUUUUCUUCUCUUCUUUGUUCUCAUUAUUUUUUCUCUUUUUUGACUGAUUAAAAGAACUCAGAUACGGUAAUUUGUUGUUAAUUCUUGACAAUUUAGUCAAGUGAAUUGUAAUUAAUUUUGCUUUUUCCUUUCUUUUUCUGUUUGUCUUUAUUUUUCUAGAUUUUCGAGUUAGUAUUCAAGUUUUUUUCCACUAUUAGGUCUUAGUUUUGUAUGGGUUAGAAUUUGAAAUUCAAAUGUUCAAUUGUAUUGGGUUUGGUAACUUUGUUUGAUUGGGUUUUUUUGGGUCAUCUCUGGCCUAGUUUCAAGGGAAACCCGAUUGGUUUUUGGUUGUUUUUGGAUUAAUUUGACCCAUGUGUAAUAUACUCAAGGUAAAUAUAGCUGUUUUAAGGGUAGUUUAGGGAAAUAGGGCAGGGAAAUCUUUUAUAACUGCAUAAGGAAGCUUCUAGGAAAGUAGGGGAAGGGGUUGUUUAAUAUGCAGACUAUAAAAUGAAGGUCUAAGUUGAAAAGAUGAAAAUUGGGGAGGGUUAAUUGAUAAAUGUUAGAGUCAUUUUUUUUUCUAACCUAAUGCCCUCUAUAUAAGGUUGGUUUUCUUUAAAAUUGAGGAAGAGGAGAAAACUAAGAAAUCAGAAAACGGUUGAGAAAUUUAUUCUGAAAAUACAUUAAAUUUUUUGCAUCUUUUAGGGUGGAAAUUGGUUCUGAAUCUGCUCCCUAGUCUUGAGUGUCAACUGGAAUUAAAAAAGCUUGAAAGAACUCUUGUUUUAUCUCAGGAAAAAAUGCUUAAAGAGCUGAAAUUUCUGGAUUUUUGCAAGCUCUUUGAUUUGGUUUUACUGCCGAUCUCUGCUGCUAUACAUGUUAGCUUAAUGUUGCUUUAAGUUGAUUCUCAAAGCUUUUUGUUUAUCUUUGCUGUAACAUGUAUGUGCCGAUGAAUAUUUUAUUGUUACACAUGAAGCUUGGAUCACCUGUUGAUAUCAUGCCCAAACAUCAUGUGAAAUGUAGACUGAAAUAAGAUUCUGAUGUUUCUUUGGAUUUGUUAUGCUGCUUUUCUUUCUUCUUAUUAUAUUCUUCUUAACAUGUUAUACAUUAGCUCAAAUAUAUACACUAGUUGUCUUAUUUGGCAUGUUGGCUGUAUUCUGUGAAAUUUUAUCUGAAGUUCAGCUCCAUUGAAUAAGUUCCUUUCAAGCAUGAACUGAAGUCUAGUAGGCUGGAUAAUCCAUUUGUGUAUGUGGAAUUCGAUCAUGGGAUCUGAUUGGAAGUUCGGUAUAUUUUGAUGUUUUGAUCGCAUGAAGCUAUAAUUUGCUUGUCUAAUUUAGCUAUGAUGGUAUUGAAUCAUUAGUAUUCUAGAAGUAAUAAUUCAAGUUCAUUUCCUAGCUAUUUGAUUAGAGUAUGUUGAUGUAUGAACGGAUAUGCUAUAAAAAUAGUUAGGUUUUGUUGCUUUAACACAAAUCUGCACGAAUCAUGUAUUGAUUGAGGGUUUAUCUUCCCAAAAUUUUCACAGAUUAGAGUCAUGAUUUAGGUAAUUAUGUUCCAAUGUGAUAAACUGGUUUCUUUGGUUCCAUUCUAAAUGUUGUUUUGUUUUUGUAAUUAG
Molecule: long non-coding RNA, 1972 nt
Filed under: Nicotiana benthamiana
Lineage: Eukaryota; Viridiplantae; Streptophyta; Magnoliopsida; Solanales; Solanaceae
Description: long non-coding RNA (NBEN_LNC010658)
Source: RNAcentral